GUGCUCUCGGGCCAGUUUUGCGGAGGCUGAAUUAUUUAUUACCCUUGUCUUUUGCGCACUUGUUGUUUCCUGGGCGGGUUCGCCCGCCACCAGGACCACAUCAUAAACCUUUUUUAUGCAGUUGCAAUCAGCGUCAGUAUAACAAAUGUAAAUCAUUUACAACUUUCAACAACGGAUCUCUUGGUUCUGGCAUCGAUGAAGAACGCAGCGAAAUGCGAUACGUAGUGUGAAUUGCAGAAUUCAGUGAAUCAUCGAAUCUUUGAACGCACAUUGCGCCCUUUGGUAUUCCAAAGGGCAUGCCUGUUCGAGCGUCAUUUGUACCCUCAAGCUUUGCUUGGUGUUGGGCGUUUUUUGUCUUUGGUUGCCAAAGACUCGCCUUAAAAGGAUUGGCAGCCGGCCUACUGGUUUCGCAGCGCAGCACAUUUUUGCGCUUGCAAUCAGCAAAAGAGGACGGCAAUCCAUCAAGACUCCUCUCACGUUGACCU
This 485-nucleotide ribosomal RNA is filed under the name Curvularia lunata. Its description in RNAcentral is "eukaryotic LSU rRNA". The stretch from base 161 to 314 matches the Rfam family "5.8S ribosomal RNA". The record is from RNAcentral. Lineage: Eukaryota; Fungi; Ascomycota; Dothideomycetes; Pleosporales; Pleosporaceae.